GAUGAACGCUGGCGGCGUGCCUAAUACAUGCAAGUCGAGCGAACAGAUGAGGAGCUUGCUCCUCUGACGUUAGCGGCGGACGGGUGAGUAACACGUGGAUAACCUACCUAUAAGACUGGGAUAACUUCGGGAAACCGGAGCUAAUCCCGGAUAAUAUAUUGAACCGCAUGGUUCAAUAGUGAAAGACGGUUUUGCUGUCACUUAUAGAUGGAUCCGCGCCGCAUUAGCUAGUUGGUAAGGUAACGGCUUACCAAGGCAACGAUGCGUAGCCGACCUGAGAGGGUGAUCGGCCACACUGGAACUGAGACACGGUCCAGACUCCUACGGGAGGCAGCAGUAGCGAAUCUUACGCAGUGGGCGAAAGCCUGACGGAGCAACGCCGCGUGAGUGAUGAAGGUCUUCGGAUCGUAAAACUCUGUUAUUAGGGAAGAACAAAUGUGUAAGUAACUAUGCACGUCUUGACGGUACCUAAUCAGAAAGCCACGGCUAACUACGUG
RNAcentral lists this ribosomal RNA (497 nucleotides) under uncultured bacterium. Its description in RNAcentral is "partial 16S ribosomal RNA". It matches the Rfam family "Bacterial small subunit ribosomal RNA", at positions 28 to 507 of the family's 1533-position model. The record is from RNAcentral.